CAUCUAGGCGGUCAAUCAAGUCGAAGGUGAAAACUUGUGGCUCAACCAUAAGCUUGCCUACGAGACUGAUUAACUAGAGUACUGGAGAGGUGGACGGAACUACACGAGUAGAGGUGAAAUUCGUAGAUAUGUGUAGGAAUGCCGAUGAUGAAGAUAGUUCACUGGACAGAAACUGACGCUGAAGUGCGAAAGCUAGGGGAGCAAACA
RNAcentral lists this ribosomal RNA (207 nucleotides) under uncultured bacterium. RNAcentral's name for it is "partial 16S ribosomal RNA". It matches the Rfam family "Bacterial small subunit ribosomal RNA", at positions 568 to 774 of the family's 1533-position model. The record is from RNAcentral.